Molecule: ribosomal RNA, 497 nt
Filed under: uncultured bacterium
Lineage: Bacteria
Description: partial 16S ribosomal RNA
Rfam family: Bacterial small subunit ribosomal RNA
Source: RNAcentral
GAUGAACGCUGGCGGCGUGCCUAAUACAUGCAAGUCGAGCGAACAGACGAGGAGCUUGCUCCUCUGACGUUAGCGGCGGACGGGUGAGUAACACGUGGAUAACCUACCUAUAAGACUGGGAUAACUUCGGGAAACCGGAGCUAAUACCGGAUAAUAUAUUGAACCGCAUGGUUCAAUAGUGAAAGACGGCUUUGCUGUCACUUAUAGAUGGAUCUGCGCCGCAUUAGCUAGUUGUUAAGGUAACGGCUUACCAAGGCAACGAUGCGUAGCCGACCUGAGAGGGUGAUAGGCCACACUGGAGCUGAGACACGGUCCAGACUCCUACGGGAGGCAGCAGUAGGGUAUCUGCCGCAAUGGGCGAGAGCCUGACAGAGCAGCGCCGCGUGAGUGAUGAAGGUCUUCGGAUCGUAAAACUCUGUUAUUAGGGAAGAACAAAUGUGUAAGUAACUAUGCACGUAUUGACGGUACCUAAUCAGAAAGCCACGGCUAACUACGUG